AGCAGCCGCGGUAAUUCCAGCUCCAAUAGCGUAUAUUAAAGUUGUUGCAGUUAAAAAGCUCGUAGUUGAAUUUCGGGAUCAAUAUGUCGGUCGUGCCUUCGGUACGUACUGGCAUCAUUGGUUUCUCCCUUCUGACAAACCAUGAUGUCAUUAAUUUGGUGUUAUGGGGAGUUAGGACUGUUACUUUGAAAAAAUUAGAGUGUUUAAAGCAGGCAUUAGCUUGAAUACAUUAGCAUGGAAUAAUGAAAUAGGACGUUUGACCCUAUUUUGUUGGUUUCUAGGAUCGACGUAAUGAUUAAUAGGGAUAGUUGGGGGCAUUAGUAUUCAAUUGUCAGAGGUGAAAUUCUUGGAUUUAUUGAAGACUAACUACUGCGAAAGCAUUUGCCAAGGAUGUUUUCAUUAAUCAAGAACGAAAGUUAGGGGAUCGAAGACGAUCAGAUACCGUCGUAGUCUUAACCAUAAACUAUGCCGACUAGGGAUCGGAUGAUGUUAAUUUUUUAAUGACUCAUUCGGCGCCUUA
RNAcentral lists this ribosomal RNA (520 nucleotides) under uncultured Glomus. RNAcentral describes it as "SSU rRNA". It matches the Rfam family "Eukaryotic small subunit ribosomal RNA", at positions 569 to 1090 of the family's 1831-position model. Lineage: Eukaryota; Fungi; Glomeromycota; Glomeromycetes; Glomerales; Glomeraceae. The record is from RNAcentral.